CCAUGCUAGGUGGGGGUUAGCGGUCCCCGUUAUCCUCAAUCCGCUAUAGGGGAGCCAUAUACCUGCCGAGGAUUUGGUUGCUUGGGACUGUACUUGGGUAAGUGGCGUUGACGGCUGAGUCCUCUGCGGCACAAGUUUACCAACCCCGUCAGGCCCGGAAGGGAGCAGCGGUAAGUAAACCUCUGUGGGUGUCAGAGGGUAGCUUGACCCGAGCUAACUGCCUAAGUAACGCCAGGCAACCGAUUUCGAAGCAGGUUGCAUGG
This 263-nucleotide signal recognition particle RNA is filed under the name Candidatus Bipolaricaulota bacterium. Its description in RNAcentral is "signal recognition particle sRNA large type". It matches the Rfam family "Bacterial large signal recognition particle RNA". From Rfam's summary of the family: The signal recognition particle (SRP) is a universally conserved ribonucleoprotein involved in the co-translational targeting of proteins to membranes. Archaeal SRP consists of a 7S RNA and homologues of the eukaryotic SRP19 and SRP54 proteins. Lineage: Bacteria; Candidatus Bipolaricaulota. The record is from RNAcentral.